CCUACGGGAGGCAGCAGUGGGGAAUAUUGGGCAAUGGAGGCAACUCUGACCCAGCAACGCCGCGUGAGCGAUGACGGUCUUCGGAUUGUAAAGCUCUGUCGCAGGGGACGAAGUAUGACGGUCCCCUGUAAGAAAGCCCCGGCUAACUACGUGCCAGCAGCCGCGGUAAUACGUAGGGGGCUAGCGUUGUCCGGAAUUACUGGGCGUAAAGGGAGUGUAGACGGCUUGUCAAGUUAAGUGUGAAAGCCUGCGGCUUAACCGUAGAAUUGCAAUUAAAACUGACUCGCUAGAGUGCAGGAGAGGUAGGUGGAAUGCGUAGUGUAGCGGUGGAAUGCGUAGAUAUUAGGAAGAACACCGAAGGCGAAGGCAGCUCACUGGACUGUAACUGACGUUGAGGCUCGAAAGCGUGGGGAGCAAACAGGAUUAGAUACCCCGGUAGUC
This 441-nucleotide ribosomal RNA is filed under the name uncultured bacterium. RNAcentral describes it as "partial 16S ribosomal RNA". It matches the Rfam family "Bacterial small subunit ribosomal RNA", at positions 338 to 795 of the family's 1533-position model. The record is from RNAcentral.